UACGUAGGGUGCAAGCGUUGUCCGGAAUCAUUGGGCGUAAAGCGCGUGUAGGCGGCCUUGUAAGUCCGUUCUGAAAGUCCGGGGCUCAACCCCGGGAGGCGGAUGGAUACUGCAAGGCUCGAGUACGGAAGAGGCGAGUGGAAUUCCCGGUGUAGCGGUGAAAUGCGCAGAUAUCGGGAGGAACACCAAUGGCGAAGGCAGCUCGCUGGGACGUUACUGACGCUGAGACGCGAAAGCGUGGGGAGCAAACAGG
This 253-nucleotide ribosomal RNA is filed under the name uncultured bacterium. RNAcentral describes it as "partial 16S ribosomal RNA". It matches the Rfam family "Bacterial small subunit ribosomal RNA", at positions 524 to 776 of the family's 1533-position model. The record is from RNAcentral.